CCUACGGUGCGCUGCAGUAGGGAAUCUUCCACAAUGGGCGAAAGCCUGCUGGAGCAACGCCGCGUGGGUGAAGAAGGUCUUCGGAUCGUAAAACCCUGUUGUUAGAGAAGAAAGUGCGUGAGAGUACCUGUUCACGUUUCGACGGUAUCUAACCAGAAAGCCAUGGCUAACUACGUGCCAGCCGCCGCGGUAAUACGUAGGUGGCAAGCGUUAUCCGGAUGUAUUGGGCGUAAAGGGAACGCAGGCGGUCUUUUAAGUCUGAUGUGAAAGCCUUCGGCUUAAACGGAGUAGUGCAUUGGAAACUGGGAGACUUGAGGGCAGAAGAGGAGAGGGGAACUCCAUGUGUAGCGGUGAAAUGCGUAGAGAUAUGGAAGAACACCAGUGGCGAAAGCGGCUCUCUGGUCUGUAACUGACGCUGAGGUUCGAAAGCGUGGGUAGCAAACAGGAUUAGAUACCCGUGUAGUC
This 465-nucleotide ribosomal RNA is filed under the name uncultured bacterium. RNAcentral describes it as "partial 16S ribosomal RNA". It matches the Rfam family "Bacterial small subunit ribosomal RNA", at positions 338 to 795 of the family's 1533-position model. The record is from RNAcentral.